CCACGAUCCGCCAUCCAAAAUGCCUGCUUAUGCAAAAUGUGGAUCUGCCCAUUGAACAUCAAAGUAACUGAUUUUUUUUAAUAAUGGAAACUGUCUGAUGAUUCACUGGGGUAAAUCAAGCAGAACAGUAGAAAGAUGAGACAGAAAAUAGGAAGAGAACCAGGACCAGUAUCAAGUCAUGAUAAAGGGUACUCAGUGUAUUGCUAUAGCAGUAAGUCAAUAGAAUGUUAAGUAAAAGACAAUGUGUUUCAUUUCUGCAGGGCAUUGUUCAGACUACACCUGUUAACAGGAUCACCUGGUUCUGCAGAAAAUACACACAACAACAGGUUUUGUCAUAUUAUCCUGGUAAGUCAGAUCAGAAUUAAGACUUUAAGGGUUACUUUGCCAAAAUGGAGCAGGAAAUGAACAUUCCUCAUCACUGCAGCUAAAUGAAAACAUGCACAGAUAUGGAAAAUUACUCUUUACUGGUGUACUGAGGUAUGUGGAAGCGGAAGCUUAACUUCUGGAAUGACAAGGAGGUGGAACAGUUUGCUGUUUCUGUGACUUCCAGGGAUUAAAUUCAGCUUCCUCUUGCUUAAGACCUACAUGAAUAAGUCCUCACAGGGAAACAGACUACUGAUUUCUUUCCUCCCUCUGCAGGUUUGUGUAAAUCCUGAUACUCCACAACCGCAGUAGCGCAGGGGAAGAGCAGCCUUCGUCUCUCCCCCUUUGCAGAAUUACACACUGAGAACAAGUAUGAAACCCACAGGAAACUUCAGCCUCUGUGAGGCAGAGGAACCAAAACCUUCACACCCAAGUAGCAGUGAGGCACAUCACACACUCCGGCCACUCUUGAGUUCCCAGCAUUUUUCACCUAUCGGCACAAGUCUGUCUCCUGUUCCACCCUGGCCCUUCCUAGAACUGGGAGCAGGACUGGCUGGCCUACAGUUUUCCAAGCAGAGUGCAGAGGCUGCAGAAGGACUUCAGUUGGCCUGAAGUGGUUCAGGAAGAGCUGAAAGCAAAUCUUCCCCAAGGCCCUGGUGUAAUCCACAGCAAGGUCAGAUUCCUCUGGAGUAACAAGGCUUUGCAAACUGUCAGUAGCAUGCAGACAGGCUUAGCUAACACAGUUUAGAGAAAUUGCUGGUAAGUGAAAAGGUAUCAUUCAUCAGUCUGAGGGAAUAAUCCUCAUUUAAGACUAUAAAUCAUUUGGUCUGUCAUUUUAUUGUGCCUGGGAUUAAGUUGUACAAAUUCUGGAAACACAGCAUCUCUGACUUCCUCUCUUCAAAGAAACUACACAUGGUUUGCCCAAAAACUCCCGUGUUUGUCAUCACAUGGGAGAGCCAACAUGGGGAAUUUUCCUACAAAAUGGAGUAAAACCCUGAGCCUGCUUAUCUUUGGAAUAACUGCCAGCAUGAUAGCAGAGUUUUGUAAUACUUUUGUGUGUUCAUAAGUCUUCUGCAGAGCCAUUCUUCUUAUCGGGGGCCAGAGUUAAAUUUUUGUAGUGAUAGUGGGUUGUUUCAUUGCAGAACAACGCAUGUUUGCCUUUAUCAGGGCCUCUGACUGCUGUGGGUAUCUCGCCCUCUAAUCCAUCUUCCCUGGAGUGUAUUUGAACAUUCCAGUCCUCUGAGGAGCUCUCAGGUAGCUGAAACUCAGCAAGCGAAUCCGCAGCUGCUGGGG
Long non-coding RNA from Junco hyemalis (dark-eyed junco), 1656 nucleotides. The record is from Ensembl. Lineage: Eukaryota; Metazoa; Chordata; Aves; Passeriformes; Passerellidae.